Molecule: ribosomal RNA, 424 nt
Filed under: uncultured Glomeraceae
Lineage: Eukaryota; Fungi; Glomeromycota; Glomeromycetes; Glomerales; Glomeraceae
Description: bacterial SSU rRNA
Rfam family: Eukaryotic small subunit ribosomal RNA
Source: RNAcentral
GGGAGGUAGUGACAAUAAAUAACGAUACAGGGUUCUUUAGGAUCUUGUAAUUGGAAUGAGUACAAUUUAAAUCUCUUAACGAGGAACAAUUGGAGGGCAAGUCUGGUGCCAGCAGCCGCGGUAAUUCCAGCUCCAAUAGCGUAUAUUAAAGUUGUUGCAGUUAAAAAGCUCGUAGUUGAAUUUCGGAAUCAAUGGAUCGGUCAUGCCAAUCGGUGUGUACUGGUUUGAUUGGUUCUCACCUUCUAAGGAACUCUGAUGCCAUUAAUUUGGUGUCAUAGGAAAUUAGGACUGUUACCUUGAAAAAAUUAGAGUGUUUAAAGCAAGCUCACGCUUGAAUACAUUAGCAUGGAAUAAUGAAAUAGGACAUUGUAUUCUAUUUUGUUGGUUUCUAGGAUCGAUGUAAUGAUUAAUAGGGAUAGUUGGG